This is a long non-coding RNA of Gallus gallus (chicken), 6160 nucleotides long. RefSeq lists it as uncharacterized. Lineage: Eukaryota; Metazoa; Chordata; Aves; Galliformes; Phasianidae. The record is from RefSeq and is a predicted model, not a curated record. The transcript is spliced from 3 exons.
AAUUGAGGAGCAGAGAUCCAGAGGAGUGUGAAGGCUGGGGAAGGGGUAAAGGUGCAGUUAAUUCUCUAACGGAUGCUGGCUGGGAUUCUGGGUUACUCUGCACACAGGGCAGUUCUCCAUUUGUGGUGGUGAAGGAGCUGCUGAUCACAGCCAAGGCUAAAAGGGACCAGGAGUGCCUUGUCACAGGGACUAAUGGAGCGCACCGAGUCACCGCGAGACGGGCUUUUACCUCGGGAAGUCCCACGGCACCUUCUGCUGCCUGGCCCACUCUUUGCUGGCCCUGGAGACUUCUUCUUAUAAAGAAUUGAUGUAAAGUGGAGCAAGACGGGAAGGAUUCAAGGCAGUGAACUUGUCUUCAUCUGGUUAUGCGAGAGCCCUUGGGCUUUCUACUGCUUCAAGGUAGAAUUUAUAAGAUGUGGAUGGUGACUGAGCCACUAAUGUAAACUUGUAUCCUGAUUGUUUUAAAAACAUGUAUUAUUGGCCUGGUUCAUAGCAAUAAUGUAAGUUUCAUUAUAAAACAGCUUUUGUUGCGAACAACUUUACAAGUCUAAAAUAUAUAUCAAACUUCUGAAUAUACAAGAGCCAUUUUCAUCCAUACCUGAAACACUCCUACAUGAAGUGAUUCAUAGCUGAUUCAGAACACAUAUAAAAGUCCUGCAAAUAUAUUUAGGAAAGGAAGUAAAGGCUAUUUUAAAUUUAUGGGGAGCUGGAAUUAGAAAGUACCUACAACAGUGGAACUUAACACAAAACUCCUCCAAAGAAAGAAUAUCAUAUCCUUAAACUUACACACUGGCCAGGAAUUUGGUUUAAUUUUCUGCUUCGAAAGGAUUGCCUUCUCCCACUAUCAUGUAAGUAGCAUGUUGUGCUUCUCGUUUCCCAGAUUAAGAGUGGUACCGCUGUCAAUCAGCACCGCCAGAUUGUGAAGUACUUUGGUGUAUCCUGAAAGUCCCAUGCAACUGCCCUGAUCAGUCUCUCUGCAUCAGACUUACUCGAUGCGGCAUUUAAAUCCUGAUACUUAUUCUGUUUUAGGGCUUUCUUCUUUUUUCACUCUUUGCUUAAACAUUCUUUCCUCCCCCACAAGCUUUGUACAUUCUAAAUGGAUGCAAAUGGUACUUAUCAGGAAAACAGAAACUCACUCCCUGAAAAAAAAAAAAAGAAAGCCAUCCACAGCAUGUUUUAAUGUUCAAAUCUGAGUACCGUCUCCAGUGCUAAAAUGGGGUUUAUAAUGAAAAUGCUGACAUCCUCACCAGACUCUGCGUGCCUGUUGCUCUUUUGUCCUGCAAGUUAUUAAAAUCCAGCCUGGUUGCCUAAGAGACAGGGUAGCUACUUAGCAGAUAUUUAGCCAUCAGUAAAAAUUAAUGUCCUACAAUGUAUUUAUUGGAAAAAUGCACUUAAUUAAGCACUCAAGUUAUACAAGCCACCCACCAACUACAAGUGUGUUCUGGCAACAGAAGUAUUGUUGUUACCGUGGUUCUGCUUCAUGAUGUUAUUUUCUUAAGUAAAUGCAUUUUUCAGCCUAACAGUUCUGGCUACAGCAUAUUGAUAAGAUAACUGUGCACGAAAGGGAGUCAUAGUAUUUUUAGUCUCCAUUUCUAGCUACCAGUAGUUCAUUAGUGACACUGUUGUGAGAGUGUUGAUUCAUUAAGAGUCUUUUCAUUAACAGUCUGACAUUCACACGUAGAAGAAAAAGCCAGGAAAUGUAACAAGGCACUCAGCAUUUUCUGCUGUUGCUCUGGUACAAUUAUCUUUUCUAAUGCCAAAAGAAGAACUGGAUGAUUUCAUGGCUAUAGGCUUUAAGCUGAACCUGACUAUGUACAGUUUUGGGGAGAAUUUGCACACAAUGUGAUUUCAGUGCCAAAUCUGUACAUAUAAGAGGCCUAGGAGAUGGCAUGGGAAAAUCAGAUGUGAAAGUUCUGUUCUUAAAUUGCUUUUGACUGGAGCUGUAAGGGCUAACAUGGAAACACAGGGGAAAAUAUGACUUUUUCUUUGUUAUUUAAAUAGGCUGUUGGCCAUAUCCCUAAACUUUAUGGGGCUUUGGAUAGAUUAGGAGCUUUCUGCUAAGCUAUCAAAUAUGUCAUGCUCAUGUAAACUCGCACCAAAUAUAUAAAUAUGAAUUUUUCAUUGUUUAUAAUUGCCAUUUAAUUGUAGGACCAAAUUCAAUAGCUUAACAUUUAUAUAGAGCUUGAUACUUUAAGCAUUACACAAAUAUUAACUAAUUAAUAAAAACAUCUGAGUAGUCCUUCUGAGACUGUCAGUUUCCAAAGAAAUCCUCUUCUUAAAAAAAAGGGACUGUUCAAGCAAACACACUGCAGGUUUUUAAAUGGCAAAUACAAAAUGACACAGUAGGACAGCUUUUUAUGGCUGAAAUCUGAGAAGAAAGCCUUUAUUUUUCCAAGAUUUUUCCGCCAAUCUUGUAAAUAAAUACUAGGUAAUGACUUCUCUUAGGAAGCAUAGGGGAGGCAGGCCAGAGAUGAGCUUGACAUUGGCACUGACUUUAUUUUCAGCUGUGUAUAGUAUUUCGUUGGAAUAUAGUAUUACAUUGACUUAUGUAUUCAUUCAAUCGUGAAAUUCAACAGGAGUUUUCAGUUCCUGUCAUCAAAAGAAAGCAACAAGAGGAGCAAAGCAAACGGUAUGUUUUUGACCUUUGCUUUCCUUGCUGAGAAUUCAUGAAACAAAACUAUGGCCUUUAAGUCCUUUUUGAGUUAUUUUGGCUCUGAAAGGUCUGGUUUAGUGAUGCGAAACUAUGUGAAUACCUCUGGCUUUCUGAACAAAAAGAGAAUGAAACAAAAUAAUAUAAAAACCCAACCCAAAACAUAUUGUUUGAUAACUUAAUGCUACUCUGACUCUUUACUUUUCCUAGACUCAGGGCUUUGCCUUCCACGAUGAUUUUUCAUUUCCGGUCUUAGUCAAAGAGGUGACAUUUCGUAGCACACAUGGUCACCAAGCUGCUACUUCUGUACAUUUCAGAACUGUGUGUGUAGGACAAUCAAGACAAAGCAAAUCUCAAAUGUAUGCAUUCUACAAUUUAAGAUGGACGUGUUAAAGAAUUGCGAACAAAGGGCAAAAAAAAACAGCUAUAAAAGGAGAAAACAUAGCAGGGUUUUUCUUUUGAAACUUUUCUCCCUGGAAAUUGCUGUUCUUAGAAAUAAAGAUGCUCUUCUGUUGCUUAAAAUAGAAAUGCUGACUGCUAUUAACUUUUUAGAUUUUGUUUAUUUCUUUCCUUCUCUCCCCUGUUAUCUGGGGCAAUGUGGAUACCAUAUAUAUUUUUAAUCAUAGUUUCAGAUUUUGAGAACUAAGUAGACUUUUAUGCACAUUUGCCAUGAAGAAAAUGAAUAUGAAUCAUGUUUUGCCAGAGCUUUUUCUUUUUUUCAUAUAAAUUUUAUGAGUAUGUUUUUCAUUUUGUUAACAGUGUCUGCCAUAAUUGCAAGACAGCAAGGACAGCACUGUAGCUGCAAUAUCACCUUAGGUUUAUUUUAUCUGGGGAGUAGUGUUAAGGAUGAAUGCUUUGGUAGCAGGGAAUCUCAGAAAGUUAAUCCAAUAAGUAAACUGUAAAAAAGAGUUUCAGGAAGUGACAAUGACACUGACAUAAGCAGCCAGCGUCUCAGAAACCCAUCUGACAGUUUGAUCUGUUGCUGUGUUGUCAAGAUGUCUAAUUAAAGUGCUAUAUAUAUAAAAGACAAUUUGAAAAUGGUGAAAAAAAAAAUAUUAAAGUUAAUAUAGAUGUGAUUUCACAAGAGAUGUGCCAUUUAUUUUGUUUGACAGCCAGAGACAAUUGAAUGAAAAUGAAAGCAGGAGCAUUCAUUACCUACGUGGGAUUUUGACUCUAAAGCAGCUUUCUGCAAUUUCUGAUCACAGCUCCCCUUCAUAUUUCUCAACUUACUAUAUCAAUAUUUAUACAUUUUGGAUAACCAGCCAAUAUUGUACAGCUAGAUCGACUUGUUUUUGGUGCAUGUUCUCUUUCUAGGGAAUUGUGUUUGAGCUUGUCAGUUCUAUGAAUACAACCUCAAGCAUAAACUCUGGGCUCUAUUAUAGCAAGAUUUGGCUAUUUUGACAGCCAUCCUUGCAUGGCAAAGAAAACAGUUUUAUAUUAUGAAAUGAACGGAGAUUAAAAAACAAACAAACAACAACACACACACACACAGAAAAACCCCACGCCAGAAAACUCUUGAAAUGAGACACUCCACAUAGAAGUGUCUGGAGCAAAAGGGAAAUUAAUAAUCACUAAGUGUGAAUUUCCAAGGUCUGUUCCCAUUAAUAAAUCAAAGUACCCUUAAGAGAGGAUCGACAGAUCUUAGCAGACUGGACGACAACUCUUGAGUAGAGCCACAAAAUAUUAAAAAGUAUUUCAAAGUAGAAAAAUUUAGGAUUGGCCAAGCAUGAUCAAAGUUCUGUUGCUAUACUUUGAACACAAUCCCUGCAAACUGUGCAGAAAAAAGAAAAGCAAAAGCAAGGGACCCUGAAAUGAGAAAUUGUAAGCCAUCCAGUCACAGAAAAAAAUUUUUAUCCAAUCACAGAGAAAAUUUUUUCUUAACCUGAUUGGUCAUUGCAUGACUAUGCCUUGAAUCUGCAGUUCCUACAUAUUUAAUAAAUAAAUAAUGGAUAUAUGAAAAAAUACCAAGUCUAGCCUGUCCAUAAAUACUACACACAAAUAUCCCAAACGUUUUUCAACUUAAUAUCAGAAUGAUGUGAGAGUCUAAAGCUCUUCAGCAGCUCUGGUGAGAACUGGAUUUUGUCUCCCCACAGACAGAAAGUCUGCUGUACUGGGGCUGGGCAAAUAGUGUUUCCUUGGUUUUUGGGCUAUGAGGCACAUCAGCAGCGUUCUGUUCGUGGAGGAGAAAAGAUCAGGCUCCCGCUCACUGUUUUGCACUUUGUACUUCUACUGUGAUCUUGUUAGCUGGAAUCUCUUCAAAAUGACUUUUUUUUUUUUUUUUUUUUCCUUCAGCUGGUGUUUCCUACAAACCCCCUGGGAAGCAUUUGAUUUGUUAUUGAGGGGGGAGGUGGGUAAGCUGUUCUCUCCUUGUCCUUCUAGUUGGAAUAUUCUGGGCCAGAUCUUCAUGUGGCAGGAGUCAGCAUUUGGUCUAGUUUGUCUCACCUUCUGCAAAGCUAUUUGGUGAUAGUUUUAGAAGAUUAUUUGAAGUUCUUUCCCUUGGUACAUUUUCCUUUCCCACUUAUUUGGUUGAAUUUACUUUUCAUUUCUAUUUUUCAAGAGUUUUUCUUCUGUUCUAAAAUCCAAACAUCUUUUCCAGUGCAGGAAGAUCCCUGUACUCCCCUCAGCACAAUUUUAAAAUGCUGUUAUUUCAUUUAGAAACUAUGCUAAUGGUUUCAAUUUCUUUGAUUUUCCCUAUUGCUGUUGAUAGUUGCAGCUGCAGUUUUUAAUAUACUUCUCUUUUUGAAAACAUUUUUUUAAUAAAAAGUAGUUUAAACUCUCCCAGUAUGCUGUUCAAAGAAUCUCACAAUUUACAUUUUUUCAUAUCGUUUUCCAUUAGAAAGCCCCUCAAGCACUCAAUGCAAGGCUCUGAGCAGUACCCCAGCAGUGUAGAGAAGUGACAGCACAACAGGGUGAAGGGGUGUGACUGAAGGAAGGGGAUGGCAGAGGACCCUAACACUGACACUAGUGGGCUUUCAAGUGUUUUAUAAAAGAAAAAAACAAGUAAACUAACUGCCCAAUAUCUGGUGGCUGUUGGAGCAGUGCUAUUCAAGGAGCAGCUGGGGAAGCAGCAGGAGGUGGGGAAUGCUGCUGAGGGCAGCAGUUCAGUAGGAGAUGAGAUGGAGUACACAGAUGCCUCAACUUGGAGUAAUCAGUGCAGAUAUUGGUGCUGGAAAAAAUAAGAGGAAACUGAGGUUGACAAGGGUGCUUGCUAGACAGGAAAAAGGUAUCAGGACAGGGGUGAGUAGUGUGCUUCAAGUGUACGUUGUCACUUCAUACAGUGCCUUGUGAUGACAUCUCCUUCUCUUGAAUAUGGUAGUGGGAUAGUGAGAGCUGCUAAAAGGCGCCAUCCAGGCCAGCAGCAAAACAUGGGACAUGACACUUGCUGAAAGAUGUCUGAUGCCAUGGCCACAAAGUCACAGUGCUCCAAGUCCACUUGACAGAUCCUGAGCCUGAGCUGGCACAGGGGUGCAGAACCAAGGAGAUUGGAGGGGGGGGGGGGGGGGGUUGGAG